AAGGGUGAAAAGAACCCCCGUCGGGGAGUGAAAUAGAACAUGAAACCGUAAGCUCCCAAGCAGUGGGAGGAGCUUAGGGCUCUGACUGCGUGCCUGUUGAAGAAUAAACCGGUGACUCAUAGGCAGUGGUGAACUAACUGCCGAAUCGGAAAAAUUGGGUACUAUCAUAUAGCUUUGUUUCGGCUAAGUUCACGAGUUGGAGA
RNAcentral lists this non-coding RNA (203 nucleotides) under Gossypium arboreum. Its description in RNAcentral is "Bacterial large subunit ribosomal RNA". It matches the Rfam family "Bacterial large subunit ribosomal RNA", at positions 510 to 672 of the family's 2925-position model. The record is from Rfam by way of RNAcentral. Lineage: Eukaryota; Viridiplantae; Streptophyta; Magnoliopsida; Malvales; Malvaceae.